UACGAAGGGUGCUAGCGUUGUUCGGAGUUACUGGGCGUAAAGGGCGCGUAGGCGGUCUGUCAAGUCGGGAGUGAAAUCCCUGGGCUCAACCCGGGAAUUGCUCUCGAGACUGGCAGGCUAGAGGAUGGGAGAGGUUGGUGGAAUUCCCAGUGUAGAGGUGAAAUUCGUAGAUAUUGGGAAGAACACCGGUGGCGAAGGCGGCCAACUGGACCAUUUCUGACGCUGAGGCGCGAAAGCGUGGGGAGCAAACAGG
Molecule: ribosomal RNA, 253 nt
Filed under: uncultured bacterium
Lineage: Bacteria
Description: partial 16S ribosomal RNA
Rfam family: Bacterial small subunit ribosomal RNA
Source: RNAcentral